ACGGGAGGCAGCAGUGGGGAAUAUUGCACGAUGGGGGAAACCCUGAUGCAGCGACGCCGCGUGAGUGAAGAAGUAUUUCGGUAUGUAAAGCUCUAUCAGCAGGAAAGAAAAUGACGGUACCUGACUAAGAAGCCCCGGCUAACUACGUGCCAGCAGCCGCGGUAAUACGUAGGGGGCAAGCGUUAUCCGGAUUUACUGGGUGUAAAGGGAGCGUAGACGGCUUUGCAAGUCUGAAGUGAAAGCCCGGGGCUCACCCCCGGAACUGCUUUGGAAACUGUAGAGCUGGAGUGCAGGAGAGGUAAGUGGAAUUCCUAGUGUAGCGGUGAAAUGCGUAGAUAUUAGGAGGAACACCAGUGGCGAAGGCGGCUUACUGGACUGUAACUGACGUUGAGGCUCGAAGGCGUGGGGAGCAAACAGGAUUAGAUACCCUGGUU
This 434-nucleotide ribosomal RNA is filed under the name uncultured Clostridium sp. Its description in RNAcentral is "partial 16S ribosomal RNA". It matches the Rfam family "Bacterial small subunit ribosomal RNA", at positions 341 to 792 of the family's 1533-position model. The record is from RNAcentral. Lineage: Bacteria; Bacillati; Bacillota; Clostridia; Eubacteriales; Clostridiaceae.